AGAGUUUGAUUCUGGCUCAGAACGAACGCUGGCAGCGUGGAUUAGGCAUGCAAGUCGAACGUGUAGCCGUUGAACAAUCUUUCGGGAGAGUGAUUCGGUGGAAAGUGGCGGAAGGGUGAGUAACGCGUGGGUGAGCUGUCUCGAAGUUGGGGACAACCAGAUGAAAAUCUGGCUAAUACCGAAUGUGGUCUUCUGGCGCAUGUCAGGAUGACUAAAGGUGGGGAUUCUUCGGAACCUGCCGCUUUGAGAGGUGCCCGCGUGCCAUCAGCUUGUUGGUAGGGUAAUGGCCUACCAAGGCUUACGGCUAGCCGGCCUGAGAGGGUGAUCGGCCACACUGGGACUGAGACACUGCCCAGACUCCUACGGGAGGCUGCAGUCGAGGAUCAUUCGCAAUGCGCGAAAGCGUGACGAUGCGACGCUGCGUGGGGGAUGAAGGCCUUCGGGUCGUAAACUCCUGUCAUGAGGGAACAGUAUCCCUGUAAUUAAUAGUUGCGGGGCUCGAUGGUACCUCAAGAGGAAGCCACGGCUAACUCUGUGCCAGCAGCCGCGGUAAUACAGAGGUGGCGAGCGUUGUUCGGAUUUACUGGGCGUAAAGGGUGCGUAGGUGGUUUUGUGUGUCGGAUGUGAAAUCCCAUGGCUCAACUGUGGAAUUGCAUUCGAAACUGCGGAACUAGAGUGCAGGAUGGGAGAGCGGAAUUCUUGGUGUAGCGGUGAAAUGCGUUGAUAUCAAGAAGAACACCGGUGGCGAAGGCGGCUCUCUGGAAUGCUACUGACACUGAGGCACGAAAGCUGGGGGAGCGAACAGGAUUAGAUACCCUGGUAGUCCCAGCCGUAAACGGUGCACACUUGGUGUGGGGAGAUUUAACCCUCUCCGUGCCGGAGUUAACGCGUUAAGUGUGCCGCCUGGGGAGUACGGCCGCAAGGCUAAAACUCAAAGAAAUUGACGGGGGCCCGCACAAGCGGAGGAGCAUGUGGCUUAAUUCGAUACAACGCGAAGAACCUUACCAGGGCUUGACAUGGGGACCCUUCGGGGGUGGUAGCGAAAGUUACCUUUACCAUCACAGGUGCUGCAUGGCUGUCGUCAGUUCGUGCCGUGAGGUGUUGGGUUAAGUCCCGUAACGAACGCAACCCUUGUGGCUAGUUGCCACCGGUGGUGAUGAGCCGCCGAGCACUCUAGCCAGACUGCCCGUACAAGCGGGAGGAAGGUGGGGAUGACGUCAAGUCAGUAUGGCCCUUACGUCCUGGGCUGCACACGUGCUACAAUGGUCGGUACAGUGGGAUGCAAUACCGCGAGGUGGAGCAAAUCCCCAAAGCCGCCCUCAGUUCGGAUUGAAGUCUGCAACUCGACUUCAUGAAGUUGGAUUCGCUAGUAACGGCGCAUCAGCUACGGCGCCGUGAAUACGUUCCCGGGCCUUGUACACACCGCCCGUCACAUCAUGAAAGCCGUCUGCACCCGAAGUCGCUGAGCCAACCAUUUAUGGAGGCAGGUGCCGAAGGUGUGGGUGGUGAUUGGGAUGAGGUCGAAACAAGGUA
RNAcentral lists this ribosomal RNA (1533 nucleotides) under metagenome. Its description in RNAcentral is "bacterial SSU rRNA". It matches the Rfam family "Bacterial small subunit ribosomal RNA". The record is from RNAcentral.